This 28-nucleotide small RNA is filed under the name Bombyx mori (domestic silkworm). RNAcentral's name for it is "ovarian small RNA-21547". Lineage: Eukaryota; Metazoa; Arthropoda; Insecta; Lepidoptera; Bombycidae. The record is from RNAcentral.
UACUGUACAGUCUACAGCUUCAUUGCCA